This 560-nucleotide ribosomal RNA is filed under the name uncultured bacterium. RNAcentral's name for it is "bacterial SSU rRNA". It matches the Rfam family "Bacterial small subunit ribosomal RNA", at positions 63 to 611 of the family's 1533-position model. The record is from RNAcentral.
CGAACGGCAGCAGACAGUAGCUUGCUACUGUGCUGGCGAGUGGCGAACGGGUGAGUAACGCGUAGGGAUCUGCCCUAAAGUGGGGGAUAACCCGGGGAAACUCGGGCUAAUACCGCAUAAGCUCCACGGAGUAAAGAAGGCCUCUGUUUCAUGCUUUCGCUUUAGGAUGAACCUGCGUCCGAUUAGCUUGUUGGUAGGGUAAAGGCCUACCAAGGCGACGAUCGGUAGCUGUUCUGAGAGGAAGAUCAGCCACACUGGGACUGAGACACGGCCCAGACUCCUACGGGAGGCAGCAGUGGGGAAUAUUGGACAAUGGGGGCAACCCUGAUCCAGCAAUGCCGCGUGUGUGAAGAAGGCCUGCGGGUUGUAAAGCACUUUCAGUAGGGAGGAAGACCUCGUUGUUAAUACCAGCGAGCGAUGACGUUACCUACAGAAGAAGCACCGGCUAACUCUGUGCCAGCAGCCGCGGUAAUACAGAGGGUGCAAGCGUUAAUCGGAAUUACUGGGCGUAAAGCGCACGUAGGUGGAUAAGCAGGUUGGAUGUGAAAGCCCCGGGCUUA